CCAAAAAAAAUACUUUCGCACCGAAAACAAAAACAGUUUACGCUUAUGAAUAAACAUCAGCAGUAAUAUAAAAACUCAAAAAUUUGGCGAGAAAUUCAGAACAACUCUCACUGAAUUAACUGAUAUUCCACUGUUACCACAAAAAAAAAAAGUCAAGAUGCGUUUCGCAGUUCUUUGUUUGAUGGCCAUGGUCGCCUAUACCUCAGCAUACUGUCUUGGUCCCAAUUGCUACAGACCAGCUUAUAAUCAAACUUUCAAUGGUGCAAACCGUAACCUCACCAAUAAUCGUGUCAACAACACUUUGGGCAAUAAUCUUGAAACCCGUCCCUACUUUUUGAGCCAACCGGUCUACAACAACAUGACCAACGGUCUUAGAAACAUUCGUGGUAACAACACUCAAUUCAAUGGUGUCAACAAUAACUUUAACAGAACCUUGGGAAACCGUAGCUAUUAAUAAGCCUGCGUAAGUAAUUGAGCAAAAUGGAAUCCAAGCUGACACUGUGACGAUUCGUUGUCGUCAGUCCAGCGAUUUUAUUAUUUGUUGAUCAUUAUUGUUAAUAGGGUUGUCUAAUUUCGAUGUGAGUAAUAAAUAUAUAAAUUUAAAAAAUUA
Molecule: long non-coding RNA, 610 nt
Organism: Microplitis mediator
Lineage: Eukaryota; Metazoa; Arthropoda; Insecta; Hymenoptera; Braconidae
Exons: 2
Source: RefSeq, a predicted model, not a curated record